This 779-nucleotide ribosomal RNA is filed under the name Ustilago shanxiensis. RNAcentral's name for it is "eukaryotic LSU rRNA". The stretch from base 285 to 439 matches the Rfam family "5.8S ribosomal RNA". The record is from RNAcentral. Lineage: Eukaryota; Fungi; Basidiomycota; Ustilaginomycetes; Ustilaginales; Ustilaginaceae.
UCCGUAGGGGUACCUGCGGAUGGAUCAUUUCGAUGAAAACCUUUUUUCUUGAGGUGUGGCUCGCACCUGUCCAACUAAACUUGAGCUACCUUUUUUCAACACGGUUGCAUCGGUUGGCCUGUCAAACAGUGCGGCGGCGGAAAUAUUUUUUCUUUUUUCGCUUUGCCAAAUUGGGCGACGGACCGACACUUAAUCAACACUUUUGAUGAUCUAGGAUUUGAAUGAUAAAAGUUCAUUUUUACAAAUGAAAUCGACUGGUAAUGCGGUCGUCUAAUUUUAAAAACAACUUUUGGCAACGGAUCUCUUGGUUCUCCCAUCGAUGAAGAACGCAGCGAAUUGCGAUAAGUAAUGUGAAUUGCAGAAGUGAAUCAUCGAAUCUUUGAACGCACCUUGCGCUCCCUGCAGAUCUAAUCUGGGGAGCAUGCCUGUUUGAGGGCCGCGAAUUGUUUCGAACGACAGCUUUUUUCACGAAAAGUUGGCGGAUCGGUAUUGAGGGUUUUGCCAUUCACCGUGGCUCCCUCGAAAUGCAUUAGCGCAUCCAUUUGAUAGGCAAGACGGACGAAAGCUCAUCUUUCGCUCUCUCUUCCCUGCCGGGUUUUGAUAAUAUCAGGACUUCGGAGAGGUUGAGAUGGGUAAGAGCUGGACGCAACGGCUUGCUGUUUGGAGUGCUUCUGAAACCCGCCCAUGUCGAGCUUGCUCGGAAGGGAUUUUAAUAAUUCAUCGGCCUCAGAUUGGUAGGACUACCCGCUGAACUUAAGCAUAUCAAUAAGGCGGAGGAA